Molecule: long non-coding RNA, 6688 nt
Organism: Pteropus alecto (black flying fox)
Lineage: Eukaryota; Metazoa; Chordata; Mammalia; Chiroptera; Pteropodidae
Exons: 3
Source: RefSeq, a predicted model, not a curated record
UCUUCGGAUCGAAAUUUCUGUUACAUUCUUACAGACUUCACUUAGUUUAAGACAUUUUUAAUGUAAAAAAAAAUUAAUAAUACAGAUAUCCUCCACUGUGCCAUGAUUUGAAUUUCCCAAACAUUGGGAAAACUUUGAAGUAGCUCUUCUAUUAUUUUUUCCAUUUCAGUAAUAUUUUCCCCUUUCCUCUUAAGGAAGAGAUUAAUGUUAUUUUCCAUUCCCUGACGGGGCUGCUAGUAAUAGGGCAUUUAAGAACAGACAUUGGAGAAAGGUUGCAGGGCCUGGGGUCAGGGACCAACACCCCCGAGGUCUACAUUCACUGUCUCUUUACGUCGUCAUGUACCCAAAGUGAAAUCACUUCACUCCAAGAAGCAGGGCCAGGUGACAGUCUGAUUAUUAGGGGACCGGAUUAUAGGAGACACCUGAGUGCUGGUCUCAGAAACCUGUGCGUAGUAGGACUCUGAUUCCGUGGGAGGUCUGGGUCGGUGUGCAGCAUGGCUCAACUGUGCUACUGUGACCUCCUGAGGCACCAGCAGGCCCAGGCCGUGGGCAGCCUUCUCGCUGUGUGUUCACACCCAUCAGAUGAAUGGCCGCAGUUAUUCUGUUGGAAGUGGCUUUAGGAAAAAUAAUCAAAAACCAGCUGCCUUUCUAACAUCGCAGCUCUUUUGUGGCAAGAAACGGCUUAGUCUCAUCCUUCUCUUCUGAAAUCAGUAGAUUUUAAAGAUGUCUUUGAUAUAUUUCUUGGAUUUAGGAGUAAGAAUAAUCAUACUAUUUCCUGCAAGUUAUUGGGCACUUGCUACAUACUUUAUAUUUAUUUUCUCAACAAGCUAAUAAAUGGCAAACCCAGGAUCUGGACCCCAGUCUGUCUGAGUCAAAGCCCUAGCCCUGACCACAACCUGUGGCACUUGCCAGAUGUCAAGACACGUAGAAGACAAGCACUCUUACCAAGGGAGGCAGUGCAUCGGCCCGGCCAGCCUUGGGGAUAAGCCGCCACCAGUCCCACAGCUCUUGAGGGCAUCUCCAGAUGCCUGCCACUAAGCUCGCAGCUCCACCCAUUGGCAUUCAUUUAUUCGAUUUCCACUGCGCUCGCUCUGAGAAAUCUCUUCAAAAACAGAUGGCCAGGAUCAGGGCGGCGUCUUGUGCCAUCUGUGUCCUCUAAGAAAAAGACAGCCAGUGGGAUGAGGAAUGCAAGAGACUUGUGGGGGAACGUGUACGACCGCAUGCCAGGAUUCCGAACAUGGCACAUGGGUCAGGAGAUGCCCUCUGUGGCCCCCAAACACCAGCCGAAGCCUUUCCUACGGCGCACGCUGUCUGCUUACCUGUGUAUCUUCGCCAGGAGUCAACAAGGUCUUCAAGGUCAGGGACUCCACAGAAAACCCGUGUUCUCCCACAGACUCAGGGCACCGUUGCCCCGACCCAGCCCUCGUCCGAUGUGGCCCCGACGUCUGCAGUCGAGACUCCCGGGAAGAGGAAAGAGACGGCAGGCCCCCAAAGGGGAUAAGUGAGAACGGACCGCUAUGCAGGGGCCUGACAGAAGGAAGCUUCGCAUAAGUAAAACUCUGCCACUGCAGACAAGAGACAGUCACACGGUGUCAUCCUCACGCUCGUGAUAAGCACAGGUCUGAACGCGUGGAAGCCGAUCCAUCGUUCUCAAGCCUUGGAGGUUAGCCGUGAUAAUCCCUAUGACAGACAUGGGGAAACUGAGGACCAGACAGAGCUUCGUCUUCAGCAGCACCGUCCUUCUGAGAAAAUGUCCAAAUCAGCAUUCUCUUCCGGCCCCUUUCAAGCACAUCUGUUAAGGAGGUGACUUUUGGAAAGCCCCUAAGGAUGGGGUGGCUGUUUUCCAGGGUCCCCAACCAUGUGAGUAGAGGGUUGGAACUUUCAGCCGCCCCCCACAACCGGGGAGGGGAGAGAAGCCGGAGUUUGAGUUAAUAGGCAAUGGCCACUGAUCUCAUCAAUCAUACUUCAUACACGCCCUAAAUGAAGGCAUCCAGAAGCUUCGGAGUGGGUGACCACAUGGAGGAGCUGGGAGAGGGAUGUACCCUGAGGGGGCGUGGCAGCUCCGCCCUUCCCCCCCACACCUUGCCCUGUGGUCAGUGUGGGAAAAAAACCAGAAGUAGCAGCAGCGGUAGAGAGAGAAAUGGAGUUUUCUUUUUAGUGAUGUACUAGAAAAGGCACCGCGCCGAAUAAAUAGCUUAUCAUCAGCCGUUCUCUUCAAAUAGAACUUCUUCCUGGACUUUAGGAAGAUGAGAGCAUGCUUGGUAGGCCUGGGCCCUGGGUCCGCUUCCAAGCUCUGUGACCUUGGGUCAGUUCAUGACCCCUCGUGUGCCUCAGUUUCCUCACGAGUAAAAUAGUAACCUCCCUUAGAGGGUCGUUAGCAGGAUUAAAUGAGUUAGUAUUUGCAGAGUCCCUACCUGGCACUCGAUAAACAUUAUUUAAGUGCGUAUUUAAUAAAUAAGUGAACUGGGUGAGCUCGACAUUCCUUCAUGAGAGAAAAGUCAUGAUUCCUCAUUGCUCAGCCACUCGCUCAUGCCUUUAUAACCGAUCCCCGAACGCAUGGGAGCGAGACGUUCUCUUUACUGCUUCUCUCCUUUCCACCGUCCAGAAGAAAUUCCAGGAAUGAAAGCGUUUAUGAGAACCACAGACAUAUCACCACACAUCUCGCACGAGGGCUCGGCUCCAAUGCCUCCUUAAGGAAGAAAGGGCUGCACCCUUUACCCGAGUCCCGGGGGGCAUUCCACGGCUGAGAGAUAGAGGCUAAUGAUUCCCAGAGACCACUUUUUGAGAUUGUUGAACCGAUUCAUCAGUGUGUGCCGUGUGAGGUGGGUGGGAAGAUUUCACAGUCUGCUACCAAUUGUCUCCAACUGCCGGAGGAGAAUAUUCACUCACGGUGGCUGCCACGGAGGCCAUGAGGUCGUGGCAUGAUUUUUUUCUCUUGUCCUUACAAGGAAAUCUUUAAAACUUUCUUUAGACGGGGAACCAAAAAUAGUGACAAGGAGAAAGGGUUGCCAAAGAUGUGUCCUCUUCCCCCGCCUUUAUUUCAUUUAUAGUAAAAUCUUAAGUCUGUGAGAGCAGUUUCGCACAUCCCUCUCGCUAGACGCUGUUUAUGUCAAGGGGACCUUCGUGCUGCAUUUACUCCACGGCUGUCGGCAUAGCUCACGUUUAAAUAUCUAUAGCGACUACUACUACUUUCCGUUCAUUUUUACUAACCAGUAAUUUUUCAGAACGUUCAACUCACAUCUUUCGGUCUCAGCCGGAUGUCGCAGGAUUUCUGCAGUCUCCGGAAGAGGCAGCAGUGGGUAAGGCACACGGGCUCUGGUGGCGCGAACCUUGGGAACGUCACCUUGGGCCGCGAACCUUGGGAACGUCACCCGCCCCGUUUCCCCACUGAUGGAGCAUGAGAGACGGUGCCAGAGGCUCCUUUUCCUUCCUCACAGACCUCGAGAGAAACUCGCGUUAAACAGUCACGUAGAAGCGCUCGCAAGCGGUAUUGGAAAGUAACGUUUACGCUUCGCUUUAUACGUGUUCCCUAUAUGUAUAUUUCACAGUAAAUAAGGUUGCAAUGAUUGAAUCUGCAAAACAUAAAUAAUUGUUAACAUUUGCAAAACAAAAGAUGCCUAUUCAGACAUUACUCAGUAUCCUACCUAUUUAAAUAAAUAAACACAUAUAUUUUAUAUUUUACAUAUAUAGGCUAGAGUACUAGAAACAUAAGCCCUCUCCCUAGAGGCUGUAAACCUCUGAUUCAGCAUCUCUGAAACAGGAGAGCCUAGGAUCCAGAACACAGAUGGCGUUUUUUCCAGUGGACAUGUUCGUACGUCUCUUCCAUUCAUUUGGAUCGUUGCUUUGCUUCUGAAGGGAUUGGAAGGUCCCGAUGGGUGAAAUCCUGUUUGCGGGGGAGUGUGUUGGUUGCCCAUCAAACAUUUCUCGACCUGAGCCCCGGGUUUUAGCUGGGUGCGGAGGCCUGGCCACAGGAUGACAUCUCUCGUUUCCCUUCCAGUUUGGUGUGGCCGCGUGACUAAGUUCUGGGCCACUGAUAGGUAAAUGAGAGCAUUUGUGGGAUUUCCAGAGAGUUCCAUAAUACAGAGGAGUCACCCCCUGUUUCUUUCCUUCCUCCAUCCUGCUGUUUGGCAAGCGGCUGAGACAGCCGAAACCGCCACAGGAAUCCUGGACGCGAAGACGGUAGCCACAUCGAAGGGGAGGAUGCAGAGAAGACAAGAAGGGCUUUGUAUCUCUGGCGACAAAGGAGUCAACCUACGAACUCCCGACUACAUUGUUCUGGACUUGUCAGAUGCGCAAAAGAACUCAACUAUUUGGCUUAAAUCUUUUUUUUUUUGGUGGCAGGAAAAAGUCACUCUGUGACCCAUCAGUUUUAAAGACAAGUUAACAUCUUACCUGAAAUAAGAUGCCAAGAGGCAAAAUAUAUUGUCUGACGUGAUUACUUGGCAAUUUACUGGUGAUUUUGUGAUAAACCCUUCAACUCCUGAUUCCUGAUCUUUGGCCAACAAUAUGACUUCUAAAUAAGUGUUGGCCAGAACAGAGUAGAAUGGACAGAGUGGCUUUAAAAAAAAUCUUGUCCGAAGAAACAGAGAGUUAAGCAGAAGGACGGCAGAGCCAAAUCCGCCAUCCCUGGUCUGCUGAAGAUCCAGGCGGGGCACACGCAAGGAGGUGGGUGGAACACGCAGGCCAGCGAUGUACGCACAGCACCGAGGAAAUCUAGCUCAACGGUGUCAUACCUGGCUUUUGGGAAAUGAUGAGGUCAUUAGACACUCCACUAACAUUUACUGGACAACGUGAUAUUUUUGCACUGACAAAACCGACGGUCCCUUUGGGAGGGCCCGCUCGGCCCGCUCGUCAGAUCGUGUGGUGCUGUGCUGCCACCUUUCCUCACUCGCUCGGCAAGUGUCCGCGGAGUCCCUGGUGCCACGCGCUCUCCGUAUUCACACACUGCGCCGCCUUUGCUGACGCAGCUCCCCUCUCCUGGAUAACAUCUUUUCAGUCUUCCCUUAUUUAAAGCCGACGUUUCUCAGAGGCCCAAAUCUGGUCCCAGCAGGCUUCCCUGACCACCACGGCCCUCAGCGCCGGCUCCCUGCGAUGCUCCGCGCUCCCACGGUGUCUUGCACCCUUAGCAAAUGCCACCUUGAAUCUUCCUUCCAUUUGUUCGACUGUAGCAUGAGCGCCUCGAGUUCAGAGACAUAUCAUUGGUGCUUAAUAAAUGCUCAUGGAUGACAUAAUGUUCGUUUAGCACUCGACAUUAAUUAGGCACCUUCUGCAUGCCUCGCGCUGUACUAAGCACCAGUGGCAAGAAAAGAUGAAUAAGGCUCACAGGCCACUGGAAGAACAGGAGUGCGAACAAAUCAUUAUAAUUCAAGAUUAUUAAGCUACAAAAAGCUCGGAGAAAGUGCUAGAAAGUGAUUUAUCCCUGGCAAGUUCAAAAGGACUUCACGGAAGAAGCCGCAUCCCACCCAGCUCUUAAAGAAGGAAGAAAGGCCAGGUGCGCCAGGGGGCCGUUCACACACGCCAGGUGGCUCGGCACCGCCUCGUACGAAGGAGGCAGGACACUUACUAUGUCUCCGCUUUGCAUGAAGAACUGGAACUGGGGGCAAAACACCUCAGAGCCUCGCACAGGCGCUCCUGGCUAUACAGAGAAAUGGAGUGAGCACGGGACCCACGCUCCGGCUGCUCGUCGGGUCCACCACGCCCCACGGCCCCCCUGUGGGACGCCCGCGUCCACGAGGUCCGCCCUGGAGGAGGUCAGGUGUUUCUUAUUUUCUCAGUUGAAAUGAGUCAAGCAACCCAAUUCAUGAAUUUAUUGCAUUUUCCCCUCCAUUUUUCAUAAUUCUCUCAUUUAUGAGGCCAGAGCUCUCUCCGUAAUUCCCCUUCCAGGAAUCUUCCCUAAGGAAAUAAUCAGAGGCAUAGAUUUAUGGACCAAAACUUUCCUUGCAGAGCUAUUUAUAAUAGGAGAAAAUAGGAAACAACCUAAAUUUCCAACAAAAACAGACCAGUGGGCAGGCCCUGAACAUCUCUCUGUAUAUUUUAAUGACAUUUUAAAAAUGCUUACCAUUCAUGUUAUUUAAAAAAGAAAGACAAGAUAAAAACCCAGUUUCGUUGAGCAUACAUGCCAAUAUGUGCAUAAAGAAGGGCUUUCAGAAAGAUGCUCACGGUGGCAUUCUUGGAACUAUUUGUUUACAUUUUUUAUGUUUUCUACAGUGUGUAUUUUAUCAUCAGGAAAAAAAAGCUGUUUACUAAAAUGCCAAAGUCAUCAAGAGGGCAAUAAAACAAAGACUGGAUUCUUGUAUUAGGGUUCUCCAGAGGGGAAAAAAAUGCAAGAGAGGGGUUUGUUUUAAGGAAUCGGCCCAUGUCAAUGUGCCAGUUGGAGGCCGGCAAAUGCAAACUGCAGGGUAAACCAGCAGGCUCGGGACCCCAGGAAGAGCUGAUGCUGCAGGUCAGACCCAAAGGCAGUCCACUGGCAGAAGUCUGUCUUAUCUAGAGGUCAGUCUUUUUUCUAUUAUGACCGUCAGCUGAUUGGAUGAAGCUCACCCGUGUUAUGGAGGGUAAUCUGCUUUACUCAGAGUCUACUGAUUUAAAUGUUAAUCUUACCUAAAAAAAUACCUUCAUAGGAACAUCUAGAAUAAGGUUUGAGCAAACACCUGGAUGCUUUAGCCUAGCUAAGUUGACACAUACAAUAACC